Molecule: long non-coding RNA, 418 nt
Organism: Dalotia coriaria
Lineage: Eukaryota; Metazoa; Arthropoda; Insecta; Coleoptera; Staphylinidae
Exons: 2
Source: RefSeq, a predicted model, not a curated record
CUCCAAAGCAAACACUAUACCCGUUUGGUAAGCUUCUGAGGCAACAUUCAAUCCAUCAACAAGAAUAUUUCAACACAUCAAGAUGGGCAAACUUAUGGCUUUGUUCGUUGUUCUACUUAUUGUGGCAACUUUGGCAUUUGCGGCACCUGAACCCGAACCAAGACGUGGUUAUGGAUACGGACAUGGGCACGGACACGGGCACGGUGGUCAUGGUUAUGGGCACGGAUAUGGUCAUGGACAUGGUGGUCGGGGCCAUGGACAUGGACAUCAUGGAUGAAGUAAACUAAUCUUCAUAAGUUAAUUUAAUGUUAAUAUUAAAUCUAAAUUUGCCUUUUUGAUUGAAUUUUAUAUGUUUGUGUAGAAUUUUAAUUUCAACAUGUUUAUUAAUAAAUAAUGGAAUUUAAAACUGUAUAUGAAA